CAUUCGAGCACAGGCGGUGGGACCCGCCCGGGACCCUCGAACUAGCCAAUGAGAAGCGCACGGGCCCUGGUCGCCUGGGAAACCGCGUGACAACAAGAUGGCGGCGCCGCGGGACGGCUCCCAGGCCCUGCGCGGGAGUUCCUGACAGCUAGAAUCUAGAAGUAGAGCUAUGAGCUCACCUUUGGCCUCCCUUGGCAAGACCCGAAGAGUCCCCCUGCAGUCAGAGCCUGUGAAUCCAGGGAGGCGAGGGAUAAAACUCUACGGAGAUGCAUCCAGGCUGCUUUAUCCAGGCCAGAGCCCAGGGUCCCAGCUUCCUCUGGGCCUCAGCCCCAGAGCAGUGACCUGGGCAUCCCUGUCUGCAGAAGACGAGGUGGACGUGCUGAAUAAUGGACAUGGCUCAGAAGAAAGGAUCUCCAUCCCUUCAUGCUAUGGCGGCGUAGGUGCCCCUGUGAGUAGGCAAGUCCCUGUAUUCCAUGACUCGGAGCUGGUGGCCACCUUGACCAGGAAGAUGCGGGACCUGGAGCGGCAAGUGAAGUCUCAGGCUGAUGAGCUUCUGUCCAAGGAUCGGAAGAUACGGGCCCUGGAGGAAAUGGUGCAGACCUUCCAGGAGCACGAGGGCAAGGUGAAGGCGCAGCAGCAGCAGGAGCUGGAGACCAUGUGCUCGCGGCUCCAGCGGCAGGUCGGGGAGAUGGAGCGGUUCCUCGGGGACUACGGGCUGCAGUGGGUGGGCGAGCCCGCGGACGACGAGGACUCCGAGGACCAGUCAGACUCAGAGGAUGGCAAGAGGGACUGGAUGACAGCCAAGAAGUUGUGGAAACCAGGGGACUCAUUGGCACCCCCCGAGGUGGACUUUGACAGGCUGCUGGCCAGCCUGAAGGAUCUCAGUGAGCUGGUGGUAGACGGUGACACCCAGGUGAUACCAAUGCCCGGUGGAGCACGGCUCCAUGUCCUUGAGCCCAUCCCACUGAAGCUCUAUCGGAAUGGCCUCAUGAUGUUCGAUGGGCCCUUCCGGCCCUUCCGUGACCUCUCCACACAGCGCUGCCUCCGAGACAUACUGGAUGGCUUCUUCCCCUCAGAGCUCCAGCGGCUGUACCCUGAUGGAGUCCCCUUCAAGCAGCAGCCCGGAGUGUGGUGCGUCAUUCCACAGCAAGGGGACAUGAGGGGGUGUGCACCACCACCACCUGGGCUUGAAAACCAUGUGAGUGAUCUGCGCAAUCAGGUUUACCCAGAGAAUGGGCUGGACCCAUUCCCAGGUGAGGGCCGUGUGGUGGGCCGACAGAGGAUGCACAAGCCCCUGGACAGGAUGGAGCACUCAGGCUCCAGGAUGACUGCUGAGAAGUUCCUGAACAGGCUCCCCAAGUUUGUGAUCCGGCAAGGUGAGGUGGUUGACAUCCGGGGACCCAUCCGGGACACCCUGCAGAACUGCUGCCCACUGCCUGCUCGGAUCCAGGAAAUCGUGGUAGAGACACCAGCCUUGGCUGCUGAGCGCGAGAGGCCCACAGGAACCAGGAGUCCCCAGAGUCACCAGCACGCCUGCUCUCCAUGCUGCGCAUCAAGUCUGAGAAUGGUGAGCAGGCCUUCCUGCUGAUGAUGCGGCCUGAGGACACUGUUGGUGAUGUGCGCACCCUGCUUGCACAGGCCAGGGCUGUGGAUGCCACCACCUUCGAGAUCUUCAGUACAUUCCCACCCACGGUCUACCACGACGACACGGCCACACUGCAGGCAGCAGGCCUGGUGCCCAGUGCAGCGCUGCUGCUUCGGGCGAGCCGGGCCCCACCGCCUGACCCAGGACCCAGCCCCAGCUCCAAAUAAAGCGCCCGCUCCCACACAG
Molecule: RNA transcript, 1831 nt
Organism: Canis lupus familiaris (dog)
Lineage: Eukaryota; Metazoa; Chordata; Mammalia; Carnivora; Canidae
Gene: UBXN11
Gene name: UBX domain protein 11
Exons: 16
Source: RefSeq, a predicted model, not a curated record